GACAAUCUGAAAAAGAAUUAAACGUCAAAACCAUUCUUUUCCCUGGGAAGGUUUUGACAGAAAAUGCCCAUCUGCAGUGCUUCCAUCCAGCUGGCGGCCCUGGUGGCACCUGAAGGCAGCUGAGAUGUUUGAGUUCGCCCCUCGAGGUGCUGGAACCCAAAACAUGUGCUUGUGGGGGGUCCUUAAUGGGAUGGAGUGGCUGAGCAUCAUUUAUUGAGAGUAAAUGAGUGUUCAGUACUGGAGUAGGAGCAGGAGUCGCUGAACUCAGAUUAAAAUGCAACAGCACCCAGUGCUUGCUGCAGGUACAUUUUCCUAGAGAAAGAGAUUGUGAGAAAUGGCUCUCGUUACUCCUUUAGAGUGCUUCUGACCACCACGUUCUUUUCUUUUUGAUAUAACAGUAUGGUAAAUGCCCAAAUGGCUCUUGCUGACAGUGGUGCUGCUGGUAGGUGACCGCUGCCCACCCGUCCUCCAGGCAUUGCACACCUGGGGCCAUUGGGAACCACCAGCAGAGAGGCUGUGAGACCACCAGGUCCCCCUGCUGCCAUCACCAUUGCACCUCUCCUGCUCGCCCUGCACCUGGUUUCCUUAUUCGUGUUACAAUUAAGUCCUGCACUGAAUAUAUUAUUGCUUUGAGAAGAGCCGGGACGAUUCUUUGUGAAGGCGCCUUCUGGCUGCCCUGGGAGAGCUCCUCAGACAGCCCUGAGACAGGCUGGCAAGUCACAUAAACCUUAAGUACGUGCCUCUGAGAAUGGAAGAUUCCCUGGGAAGCCUCAAUCUCUCGUUGUGUUACGGCCUGAUUAUCAAACAGACAAUUUACAUCUUAUUAGGUGU
Molecule: long non-coding RNA, 831 nt
Filed under: Numida meleagris (helmeted guineafowl)
Lineage: Eukaryota; Metazoa; Chordata; Aves; Galliformes; Numididae
Description: lncRNA (ENSNMEG00000006072.1)
Source: RNAcentral